GAUUUCUUUAGAACCGCUCCCCUCUUCACUUCAGAAAUCGACAACCCAGCCACCAACCAAGCUUCCAAGCUUGAUGAAAAUGGCGCCCAUCAACUUUCUCAGAGCAGCACGUCAUUUUUCAGACUGAAAAAGCUCUCUGAAAGCGCUGUUACUCCAUCAAGAUUCAAGAGGCUCUCCUCUCUCUGCGGGUUACGAUCUCUCGAGGUGUGGCACCAAUUCAUCUAAUUGUUGAGGAUAAUUUGCACCGUGCAACUCCAUGAGGUACUGGGGUGUAAAGGCUAUAGUAAACUAUGUUGCGGUUCUCAAGGCUUAAUCAGCUGCAAAAGAACAAGGGUAUUCAAAUGUUCUCUACCUUGAUUGUGUACACAAAAUAAAUCUAGAGGAGGUCUCCUCUUGCAACAUUUUCGUCGUGAAGGGUAACGUUAUCUAUACUCCAGCAAUUAAAGGGAAGAUCUUACCUGGUAUUACUCGAAAGAGUAUCAAGAUUCAAGAGGCUCUCCUCUCUCUGCGGUAGUAGGAUUGUGUUUCAUUAUGGAAGCUCUAGCUUUGAAACACAUAUUGGAAGCUUUACAGAGUAUGCAAUUGUAUUGUUCUGAGUUGAAGGAGAAUGUUUGUAAAAUACAGUCUGACAUGCGUUCUUUAGCUGAGGAGGACCAGAGAAUUUUUCGGGCCAAAAUUCUUAAAUUUUAUGUUGGGAGUUUUGAUGAGUGUAUAGAAUUUGGAUUGAAAGAAGAUUCAUGUGUAGACCCUAAUGAGAAAGGAAGAUUACACAAAGGUGAAUGUGAGAAGGGUAAAUUAGGAGACGCUGACUCAAAUUUACCGACACCUUCACCCGACAGUGGAGCUUGUAAAAGUAUAAAUGGUCAUACUUCUAUUGCUGCAGGUGGUAGUAUGUUGAAGGGCGGUUAUAUUUGUGGGAAAUGAUUGAGCUUUGAUGAUACAGUGUUCCAAAAGACCAUGCAAUUUGGUUAAACUUUUCUAGAACGUGCGAUGACAAUGGCGCAGUCGCAAGGAUGCACGAUUAAACAUUCAAUGAAAUUAGCGUGUGAAAAGAAGUCAGUUGGUGCUUCAGUCGGAGUUGGUCGUACUAAGAUUGCUGGAGGAGAUAUGGGUUACAGAAAAUUCCAAUCUAAGUACGAUUUGGGAGUAGGUGUGAAAAGGGUUGCAUGUGGGGUGCAAAAGUUAGGCCCUUUUACAAUUUCUAUCCCACUUCAAGAUUCUAGUUAUGGGCCACUACUAGAGUACAUAUUUCAUGAAGACUUGGAUGCAGAGUUAUUAAUGUCGUUUGUGAUAUGCUAACAAAGACUGAAAGAUUGGUAUCAAAAGGAGAGCGAAAGAUGUGGUAUUUAAACACAUGGAUGAGUUCUUCCAUAACCGCUGAAAAAUUAUUUCCAAGUACUGUUAGAGGAAAUCAUGAUGGAGAAAAAGAGUCUGCCAGACAAUUCUACAUUGGGGAUCUUCGUAAUUGUAAGUAGUUAGUGAAGUUGGACUCAUUAUUGGCAACUGACAUUGCAUGUUUGAAAUCCUCGCGUGAAGAGAUUACAAGAUGGAAGUGGGCUGAUUUUUCAUUUGCCAAAUUUCAUGUCAUGACACUUACCAGCGCACCUCAACAAUCUAAUUCUUAUGACUGGAAUAUUUGUUAUGAAUUGGUUGGAGGAGCACCAAAGACAGUAUUUGAAUGAUUCAGAGGUUUUUUUAAUUAUAAUUAUCGAGUUAUAAUUUGAGUCGUGUGUUUAUCUAUUAUUAGAUCAAUCCUAUGCGUUGUAUUCAUAUUAUUUCUUCAUAACCCCCCUCCCCCCAUUAUCCUAACAAGGGCAAUGACAAUUGCCUCAAACUUUUGCAGUUUCAUUCUCAAAAUGAGGGGGCAUGUAUUGCAGUUAAUAUAGUGAUGUCUAGUGUCGACAAAUUAAAAGAUAUUGUGAAGGUUGCUGCUUUAGAACACAAAAAGCCUAUUAGUCAGGCGAGUGAUUGUUGAAGAAAGGAUGUUUUCUUACAAUUUAUGGAUUUUAUAGUCUUUUGAGAUACAUGGGUUGGUAACUUAGUUUA
Molecule: RNA transcript, 2046 nt
Organism: Humulus lupulus (European hop)
Lineage: Eukaryota; Viridiplantae; Streptophyta; Magnoliopsida; Rosales; Cannabaceae
Exons: 10
Source: RefSeq, a predicted model, not a curated record